UCAUGUCCCAUGCUUCUAUGCUACAUAACACUGCAAACUGAGAAGUAAAGAAGCGCAAGCCUUCCUUUCUCACCAGGCUGAGGGUCUCUUGUCCACCUCAGCACUGACUGCAGAACCCCACUACCCACAGCCUGCUCCCUGGCUCAGUGCUCCUGACGCUACCCACCCUCUCGAGGAUCCACCUCAGACAGAACUCCCUGGAUUCUCCCACUGUGGGCUCAGAGAGCAAACUGACUGUGGCCUGGAGCCCCUCCCUCCCAUGGACUUUCUCAUGGUGUCACCCCACUGUCUUUCACUGGAGGAACAAGGCCUCCCCAAGGUUCUUACCCUCUCCUUGAGUUGCAGAUACAAAGACACAUUGUACCGGCUA
Molecule: long non-coding RNA, 370 nt
Filed under: Fukomys damarensis (Damara mole-rat)
Lineage: Eukaryota; Metazoa; Chordata; Mammalia; Rodentia; Bathyergidae
Description: lncRNA (ENSFDAG00000022866.1)
Source: RNAcentral